AAUUUUCCGCAAUGGGGGAAAACGGAGGGAACAAAAAAACAGGAGGUAGAAGGCGGAAGGGUCGUGAACUUCUUUUCCCGGAGAAGAAGCAAUCACGCUAUAUGGGGAAUAAGCAUCUAUAACUCUGCACCCGCAGUCGCGGUAAUGCAGAGGGUGCAAGCGUUUUCCAGAAUGAUCGGGGAUAAAGCGUGCUAGGUGGCUUUAAGGUCCGCAGUAAAAUCACAGGGCUCAAAAGGAACAGGCGGUGGAAAAUACCAAGCUGGAGUAGAGUAGGGGCAGAGGUAAUUCCCGGUGGGGCGGUGAAAUGGGAAGAGAUCGGAAAGAACACCAACGGGGAAACCACUUUGCGGGUCCGACCUGACAGUGAGAGACGAAAGCUAGGGGACAAAAUAAAAUUGAUACCUCGGUAGUCCUACCAGUA
This 421-nucleotide ribosomal RNA is filed under the name uncultured marine bacterium. RNAcentral describes it as "bacterial SSU rRNA". It matches the Rfam family "Bacterial small subunit ribosomal RNA", at positions 360 to 804 of the family's 1533-position model. The record is from RNAcentral.